Triticum aestivum (bread wheat) is the source of this 701-nucleotide long non-coding RNA. RefSeq lists it as uncharacterized. The record is from RefSeq and is a predicted model, not a curated record. The transcript has 3 exons. Lineage: Eukaryota; Viridiplantae; Streptophyta; Magnoliopsida; Poales; Poaceae.
GUUCCUGAUCGAAGGUGAUUUCAUACAUUUGAACCAUCUCCAGAUUUAGUGCCCUGUGUGUUGGUUCCAUGGUGAAAUCACCCAAUCCUUGGGGUGUUUACAUUGAGGUUUUUGGAUGCAGGUUACACAUGGUUUCGGUACCUCAUUAGCAGCUGCUGUCCCAUUUUUCUAUGUUCAGUAAAGAGCUCUGGACAUCUAUUAAACCAAGGGUUGCUCCAGGCAAGGUUCCAUACCCAGAGCACAUUUUGAUAAGUUUAUGGGACAUAAUUAUUUACCUGGAAUUUAUUGAGAUCAAGGCAGCGAAAUAUUCCUUUCAUGUUGUGGACCAUCGUUUCGUGGCUUGGCAGAUGAAAUAGACAAAAAAUACAGAGAUUCAUCCCGUGAGUGGAAGUAAGCUGCGCUAUACUUACAAGAUUAGGCCGUUCUAUAGUAUACCGAGUAACUUCAAUGGCUAGACUUACCUUGCAGGGAAAUAGCUACAGCGUCUUUUUGGAGUGAAACUGCUGAAGCUUUUGAUGCAGACAAACUCGAUACAGAUUAGUUGCAGGGUCUUGUGGUUGCUCUGUUAUAGGCUGCACAUAUAGAAACAAGAUUGUAAUAUUAGCUCCCUUUAAUUGUCUUUUUCUGGACAAGCUUUUCCGUCAUGGUGAUACAUCUCUUAUACUAACAGUCAUGGAGGGAUCUGAUCUGGUCAAGAUCUC